UCACUUGUUGCUCUUGUCAUGUGCAUAUGGUAUUAUUAAUGUCUCUUGUAUUAUUCGUGCAAAUAUGAUAAAAUCACUAUAACAUUGCAGAAACUGAGAGAGACCAAACUAUAUCUUCAUCUCUCUACACAGGCAGCACAGCUACUACAUCAGUCCCUUAAGAAAGCGUGCGAAUAUCUUCAUAGCCUCGAGAGCUUUCUCACAAUCAGGUCUCAUCAAAUGAAAAACAUGGUCUUCUCCUUCACUCUCCACCAACUCCACUUUCCCUUUCC
RNAcentral lists this long non-coding RNA (272 nucleotides) under Brassica napus (rape). RNAcentral's name for it is "long non-coding RNA (BNAP_LNC000506)". The record is from RNAcentral. Lineage: Eukaryota; Viridiplantae; Streptophyta; Magnoliopsida; Brassicales; Brassicaceae.